This 597-nucleotide ribosomal RNA is filed under the name uncultured bacterium. RNAcentral describes it as "bacterial SSU rRNA". It matches the Rfam family "Bacterial small subunit ribosomal RNA", at positions 248 to 863 of the family's 1533-position model. The record is from RNAcentral.
GUUGGUAGGGUAAAGGCCUACCAAGGCGAAGACGGGUAGGGGGUGUGAGAGCACGACCCCCCACAAUGGGACUGAGAGACGGCCCAUACUCCUACGGGAGGCAGCAGCAGGGAAUAUUGCACAAUGGACGGAAGUCUGAUGCAGCGACGCCGCGUGGAUGAAGGAGGCCUUCGGGUUGUAAAAUCCUUUUCGGGGGGAAGAGGAAGGACGGUACCCCCGGAAUAAGCGUCGGCUAACUACGUGCCAGCAGCCGCGGUAAUACGUAGGACGCGAGCGUUAUCCGGAUUUACUGGGCGUAAAGCGUCUGUAGGCGGACUUGUAAGUUGGACGUGAAAGCUCCGGGCUUAACCCGGAGAGGUCGUUCAAUACUGCGAGACUAGAGGGCGUGAGAGGGGAGCGGAAUUCCCGGUGUAGCGGUAAAAUGCGCAGAUAUCGGGAGGAACACCAGUGGCGCAGGCGGCUCCCUGGUACGCACCUGACGCUGAGAGACGAAAGCUAGGGGAGCGAACAGGAUUAGAGACCCUGGUAGUCCUAGCCCUAAACGCUGGAUGCUAGGUGUGGGGCCGAACAGGCUCUGUGCCGCAGCUAACGCGCUAA